GAUGAACGCUGGCGGCGUGCCUAAUACAUGCAAGUCGAGCGAACAGACGAGGCGCUUGCUCCUCUGACGUUAGCGGUGGACGGGUGAGUAACACGUGGAUAACCUACCUAUAAGACUGGGAUAACUUCGGGAAACCGGAGCUAAUACCGGAUAACAUGUUGAACCGCAUGGUUCAACAGUGAAAGACGGUCUUGCUGUCACUUAUAGAUGGAUCCGCGCCGCAUUAGCUAGUUGGUAAGGUAACGGCUUACCAAGGCAACGAUGCGUAGCCGACCUGAGAGGAUGAUCGGCCACACUGGAACUGAGACACGGUCCAGACUCCUACGGGAGGCAGCAGUAGGGAAUCUUCCGCAAUGGGCGAAAGCCUGACGGAGCAACGCCGCGUGAGUGAAGAAGGUCUUCGGAUCGUAAAGCUCUGUUAUUAGGGAAGAACAAAUGUGUAAGUAACUAUGCACGUCUUGACGGUACCUAAUCAGAAAGCCACGGCUAACUACGUG
RNAcentral lists this ribosomal RNA (497 nucleotides) under uncultured bacterium. Its description in RNAcentral is "partial 16S ribosomal RNA". It matches the Rfam family "Bacterial small subunit ribosomal RNA", at positions 28 to 507 of the family's 1533-position model. The record is from RNAcentral.